RNAcentral lists this ribosomal RNA (829 nucleotides) under uncultured eukaryote. Its description in RNAcentral is "SSU rRNA". It matches the Rfam family "Eukaryotic small subunit ribosomal RNA", at positions 47 to 886 of the family's 1831-position model. The record is from RNAcentral.
AGCCAUGCAUGGUCUAAGUAUAAGCAAUUAUACAGCGAAACUGCGAAUGGCUCAUUAUAUAAGUUAUCGUUUAUUUGAUAGUACCUUACUACUUGGAUAACCGUGGUAAUUCUAGAGCUAAUACAUGCUAAAAAUCCCGACUUCGGAAGGGAUGUAUUUAUUAGAUUAAAAACCAAUGCCCUCUGGGCUCUCUGGUGAUUCAUGAUAACUUCUCGAAUCGCAUGGCCUUGCGCCGGCGAUGGUUCAUUCAAAUUUCUUCCCUAUCAACUUUCGAUGUUUGGGUAUUGGCCAAACAUGGUUGCAACGGGUAACGGAGGGUUAGGGCUCGACCCCGGAGAAGGAGCCUGAGAAACGGCUACUACAUCCAAGGAAGGCAGCAGGCGCGCAAAUUACCCAAUUCCGACACGGAGAGGUAGUGACAAUAAAUACUGAUACAGGGCUCUUUUGGGUCUUGUAAUCGGAAUGAGUACAAUUUAAAUCCCUUAACGAGGAACAAUUGGAGGGCAAGUUUGGUGCCAGCAGCCGCGGUAAUUCCAGCUCCAAUAGCGUAUAUUAAAGUUGUUGUGGUUAAAAAGCUCGUAGUUGAACCUUGGGCCUGGCUGGCCGGUCCGCCUCACCGCGUGUACUGGUCCGGCCGGGCCUUUCCCUCUGUGGAACCUCAUGCCCUUCACUGGGUGUGGCGGGGAAACAGGACUUUUACUUUGAAAAAAUUAGAGUGCUCUAGGCAGGCCUAUGCUCGAAUACAUUAGCAUGGAAUAAUAGAAUAGGACGUGCGGUUCUAUUUUGUUGGUUUCUAGGACCGCCGUAAUGAUUAAUAGGGACAGUCGGG